GAAAUACUCUCUCUGUCCGAAAAUACUUGUCACGGAAAUGGAUGUAUCUAGAGGUAUUUUAUUUCUAGAUACGUCCAUUUUUAUUUAUUUCAAAUCUAAAUAUAUCCGUUUUUAUUCAUUUAUGUGACAAGUAAUUUCGGACGGAGAAAGCAUUUA
Hordeum vulgare subsp. vulgare (domesticated barley) is the source of this 156-nucleotide non-coding RNA. The record is from Rfam. NCBI's taxonomy places the organism in Eukaryota, Viridiplantae, Streptophyta, Magnoliopsida, Poales, Poaceae.